AUGGGUGAAAUAGGUGAUGGGGAUCAAGGCGUGCACUUGUGAUGAGCACUGGGUGAUGUAGGGAAGUGCUGAAUUGCUCUAUUGUAUGCCUGGAAUCAAUACAACACUGUAGGUCGACUAAUUGAAAUUAAAAUACGAACUUAAAAAAAAGUACAGCUAAAGCAAAAACAAAACAAAGGAAAAAAGAAACAUUCAUGGGCUACCAGCUGUGAACGUAGCCCUGUGCUAGGUGCAGAAGGGGGGUGGGGGGGUGGGGUCCCACACUACGUAGGCUGACAGUCCGGCUGGGAAGAUAACACCGGCAUGCGUGGGAGGUGAAGCAGCAAUGUAACGCUCCUGCUGGAAAUAAUGGCGAGAACGAAGAAGAUGAAGGUACUGAUCAGUCUUCAUACAGGCGCACCAUCCUGCGGUUCACAGAGCAUAUCAAUGGUGUUAUCUUAUUUGAUACUCAAAACUAUCAAAACCAGCCCACCAGUUCUACUAAUGAGCAAACUGAGAGUCAUAACUUCUCUGAGAUCAGAUAGGAAGAAAAGUAGCUGAGUUGGACGACUUUCGUUUGGCCCCAAGAAUGCCACUGUCACCAAGACACCACAACUGUCUUCCUUUACGUUGCCACAGAACAUUGCAAAAUGCACAUUAGCAUUACGUAGUAACAUAGGUAACUGCCGUGUGGGGAGUGGAUGUAAUGGGCGAUCAGAGAGCAGGCAGGUCAUGAGGCUGGUGGCCGUGGAGAAACAGGUAACUGGGCGGAGCUCAGAGGCUGUGCAGUACUUGGACAUGUGAGCCGUGGAGACGAGAGGAGGGCUGCCUCUCUGGCAAGAAGACGUGUGUAGAUGAGCGACGCACAACUCUACCUGGGUAUAAACUCCCAGGAGCAGAGCAGCCAGAUCAAAGGGCGCACACAUUUCCCUCUCUGAGUGAUGUUACAAAUCCCCCUCAGGGCCGGGCACAGCCCACAACCAGGAGUCUAGUCGUGCACCUCCCCCGGUUCUCAGCAAACGUUGUGAUCUCUGCCAAUCUGCCCGCCUACUUCCAAAGAAUCGUCAACCAACUUGCAAUAUGGAGCUUCGAUACGGUCUGAAAAUAAGGUAAUGCACGCUCAGAAUCUUGGUAACAAGAAAGUGGAGGCCAGGGGUGGGAACUGAGAAAGGCCGAAAGGCGAGUUGCCACGGGGAGCCCUCCCGGGUGCCCGACAUCAUAGAAGGUUCUUUGAGACGUGCGAAAUAGUUGGAUGCCCUCUCCGAGCUAAUGAACAACUGGAUGGUCCCAGUUACAUAAUAGUCACGAUUCAC
Molecule: long non-coding RNA, 1292 nt
Organism: Herpailurus yagouaroundi (jaguarundi)
Lineage: Eukaryota; Metazoa; Chordata; Mammalia; Carnivora; Felidae
Exons: 3
Source: RefSeq, a predicted model, not a curated record